AUUGAACGCUGGCGGCAUGCUUUACACAUGCCAGUCGAACGGUAACAGCACUUCGGUGGCUGACGAGUGGCGCACGGGUGAGUAAUACAUCGGAACGUGCCUAGUAGUGGGGGAUAACUACUCGAAAGAGUAGCUAAUACCGCAUGAGAUCUAAGGAUGAAAGCAGGGGACCUUCGGGCCUUGCGCUACUAGAGCGGCUGAUGGCAGAUUAGGUAGUUGGUGGGAUAAAAGCUUACCAAGCCGACGAUCUGUAGCUGGUCUGAGAGGACGACCAGCCACACUGGGACUGAGACACGGCCCAGACUCCUACGGGAGGCAGCAGUGGGGAAUUUUGGACAAUGGGCGCAAGCCUGAUCCAGCAAUGCCGCGUGCAGGAUGAAGGCCUUCGGGUUGUAAACUGCUUUUGUACGGAACGAAAAGCCCUCUUCUAAUACAGGAGGGUCAUGACGGUACCGUAAGAAUAAGCACCGGCUAACUACGU
Molecule: ribosomal RNA, 481 nt
Filed under: uncultured bacterium
Lineage: Bacteria
Description: partial 16S ribosomal RNA
Rfam family: Bacterial small subunit ribosomal RNA
Source: RNAcentral